Molecule: ribosomal RNA, 253 nt
Filed under: uncultured bacterium
Lineage: Bacteria
Description: partial 16S ribosomal RNA
Rfam family: Bacterial small subunit ribosomal RNA
Source: RNAcentral
UACGUAGGCAGCGAGCGUUGUUCGGAGUUACUGGGCGUAAAGAGUGCGUAGGCGGUUUUCUAAGUUUGGUGUGAAAUCUCCCGGCUUAACUGGGAGGGUGCGCCGAAAACUGGAAGGCUUGAGUAUGGGAGAGGUAAGCGGAAUUCCUGGUGUAGCGGUGAAAUGCGUAGAUAUCAGGAGGAACACCAAUAGCGAAGGCAGCUCGCUGGGACGUUACUGACACUGAGGCGCGAAAGCGUGGGGAGCGAACAGG